GGGCUCGUGGUCUAGUUGGUUAUGACGUUUCCCUGACACGGAGAAGGUCUUGAGUUCGAAUCUCAACGAGCCCA
RNAcentral lists this transfer RNA (74 nucleotides) under Thermoplasmata archaeon. RNAcentral describes it as "tRNA-Val". It matches the Rfam family "tRNA". Rfam says of the family: Transfer RNA (tRNA) molecules are approximately 80 nucleotides in length. RNAcentral also lists the same sequence under 4 other names. The record is from RNAcentral. Lineage: Archaea; Methanobacteriati; Thermoplasmatota; Thermoplasmata.